This 63-nucleotide transfer RNA is filed under the name bovine gut metagenome. It matches the Rfam family "tRNA", at positions 7 to 64 of the family's 71-position model. From Rfam's summary of the family: Transfer RNA (tRNA) molecules are approximately 80 nucleotides in length. Their secondary structure includes four short double-helical elements and three loops (D, anti-codon, and T loops). Further hydrogen bonds mediate the characteristic L-shaped molecular structure. tRNAs have two regions of fundamental functional importance: the anti-codon, which is responsible for specific mRNA codon recognition, and the 3' end, to which the tRNAs corresponding amino acid is attached (by aminoacyl-tRNA synthetases). tRNAs cope with the degeneracy of the genetic code in two manners: having more than one tRNA (with a specific anti-codon) for a particular amino acid; and 'wobble' base-pairing, i.e. permitting non-standard base-pairing at the 3rd anti-codon position. RNAcentral also lists the same sequence under 1 other name. The record is from RNAcentral.
GCGUAGUUCAGUUGGUAGAAUAUUCGACUUGUAAUCGAAAGGUCGGCAGUUCGAAUCUCGCCC